UGUCCUCCAUCAGAGGUCUAUAUUGAGCAGAUUCUUUUUGGUGUUGGGUGGUGGAACUGGAGCUUGCUCCAUCCACUCCAUGCAUUGACCUGGUAUUACAGUGCUUCCAGGACCGGUGC
RNAcentral lists this small nuclear RNA (119 nucleotides) under Crocodylus porosus (Australian saltwater crocodile). Its description in RNAcentral is "U2 spliceosomal RNA (ENSCPRG00005006565.1)". It matches the Rfam family "U2 spliceosomal RNA", at positions 67 to 185 of the family's 192-position model. Rfam says of the family: U2 is a small nuclear RNA (snRNA) component of the spliceosome (involved in pre-mRNA splicing). Complementary binding between U2 snRNA (in an area lying towards the 5' end but 3' to hairpin I) and the branchpoint sequence (BPS) of the intron results the bulging out of an unpaired adenosine, on the BPS, which initiates a nucleophilic attack at the intronic 5' splice site, thus starting the first of two transesterification reactions that mediate splicing. Lineage: Eukaryota; Metazoa; Chordata; Crocodylia; Crocodylidae. The record is from RNAcentral.